Molecule: long non-coding RNA, 1449 nt
Organism: Podarcis raffonei (Aeolian wall lizard)
Lineage: Eukaryota; Metazoa; Chordata; Lepidosauria; Squamata; Lacertidae
Exons: 2
Source: RefSeq, a predicted model, not a curated record
GUUGUGCACUUCUGGGUAAGAGUCCUUUAUGAGUAACUGCAUAUGCAGCUAUUUUGCUGUGUACAAGAGAUUUGGUGAUGGCUUCCCAAUGUAUGCCCAUUAUUGGAACGUAAGUGAAAUAGGAACAUAUGAAAGCUACCUACAUGCUAAGCAUGACGAGGCAGAGUGUCCUGUAUUGUAGAAUGUAGUGGCUAAAUGAAGGUGUGUGGCCUGUUAAUUUGUAAGCCUUCCUUUCCUUUAAACAGAUACCUCCAUGCACUACUUGUCUGUAGUUUAAUUCAGAGCAGGGAAAGCUGCAACACUUGUGGCCGGGUUAAGUCUGGUGAAAGGUGCUUUGGUUCCUCCCCUGAAAUAUGCCUAGAAUUGAAUUAGUGGUGGCUUAAACACACACCAGUUGCUGAUGGCAAUUUGUUUCAACCAGAUUUUUGGAAUGCUAUCCUGAAUUCUUCGGAGGAAGAAUGGAAUAUGAAUGCAGUUAAGAAAAACUGAUGGAGAGGUGGUAGAACACUUAAUGGCAGCGCUUGUGUCGCAGGAAGGUCUUCACGCACAACUGCUCCUGGCAGUAUUGGCCAUAGAUUUAAGAAAUCAGAGCUGGAGGCAGGCAGAGUUCUGUAGCACUUGGCUUCUGAGCUGGAGUGACCACACAAAAAGAGGCAAUGCAGGAAAGGGCGAGGGGUGGGUGGGUGGGCUUCUUACCUUGAUUGAGGCACCUGCAAAUCUUGCCAGCUGCUUAAUGUGUUGGCCCUUCUUCCCGAUAAUUGCACCCACUGCCUGUGUUGGGAUGAACAAGUUCACCACCUCUUGCUCUGGCAACUGUGGACAGCAAAGGGACAUGAAAUGCAUAUUGGGAAGAAAAACGAAGCUUUCCCACCUGUAUCGCUUUCCCAAGGUGAGGAGCAGCAAGCAAGGAAGCAAGCAAGCCCUGGCUCAUGUCAGACGACAGGCAAAAUCCACCCCAGCAGUGAAAUGACAAGCACUCCUCAAGGAAAUCUCAGACGGAAGGAGGAAAGGAGAAUGCAAGGAAGAGUUAAAGCAGAGAGCUAUCACCAGGGACUGGGAGUUAAAUACAGUGAGCACCAUGCAAAUCAAACUAUUCAGACAACUGAAGACCUACUGAAAUCUACUGGAUUUACAGUGCAAACCUAUACACGCCUACUGAGGAGCAGGUCUCAUCAAGUUCAGUGGGGCAAACAAACCAGGGAGAGCAAUCUGGUCAAAGCAAAUAAUGGGAGUAUUAAGUGUGUGUGUGUGUUGCUGUCUGCUGCUAUGACAAAGAGUUUUGGCAAAGCCAGCGAAAUCCAGCCAAAACGAUGGUCAUGGUGUGGUGUUGUCGUAUCUUCUCUCAAUCGACUGCCCCUCUUUCAACAUACAAGGGUGUCGUACCCCUUUGAUUGUUGAUAUAUACUGUAAUGGUACAAAAAGAAAUAAAACUAUUGCUUUCUAUUUCCA